Peromyscus maniculatus bairdii (prairie deer mouse) is the source of this 989-nucleotide non-coding RNA. NCBI's taxonomy places the organism in Eukaryota, Metazoa, Chordata, Mammalia, Rodentia, Cricetidae. The record is from RefSeq and is a predicted model, not a curated record.
AUCUUAGGAGGCGGGCCCGCGUCCGGGAAGCCGGGCUGGGGCCGUCCCGGCACCCGGGGUGGAGCGGGCGCCCUCAGCCCGUCUCGGUGCCGCUCUCCAUCGUCAGGGGCUCCCAUUACUCCCCAAGUGCAGACUCAAGUGCUAAACCAAGCUUUAGAAACGAAAAUAGCUCCAGGAACCAAACCAGACGGGAGAGCUGGAGGUGGAGCACACGGGUGACAGAGACUCACACUCGUGAUCCUCGGGAGAUGCUCUUGGUGUCAAUUUUCUUAAUAGUUCCUGAAGAGAAGAGAGCUCAUCCUGGAGGCCAGAGACUAUUCCACAUGGUGCAAGCCACGGGCAGUUUUCCCACCACCUGUUAUCCCCAGCGGACCCAGUUUGACGAAUGGAGUGCCCCCACUUCCUCCAGCCCUUUGCCUUUCCAGCUCUUUGUGCCCCUCCAGUCUGUUUUCCCUUCUCACCUGGACCUCAGGCCUUCCCCUCAGGCAUCACAUGGAGAACAAAAGUCCAAACUCAAGAGUGAGGUCCCCCAACCCCUUCCACAAACCCCAGCUUUCAUAAAUCAAAACCAAAUUUCAAAGUCCGAAUACAAGAAAAACAUUAAAAAACAGAAGUCACUCACCUGUCCACUCUUCUUCACACGCUCCCAGGGAGUGUUUCUCAGGAAGGUGAGGGUGUCGGGAACCCGGAUGCUGUCAUGCAGGGCAAGAAGGAAGAACUCCGAGAAUUCAAAUUCAGCCGGAAACUGAUGGAGGAGCUGCCAGACACAGUCCAGGAAGAGAGGGAACACCGCGGCCUAAGAAGAGAAAAAAGGGAUCUAAAGCCCAGGGAACUGAGUAGUAUGGCUGUGAGCCUGACGCAUCUGAGCGUUCACUCGGGUUACCUUAGCCCAGACCGGGUUCACUUCCAGUGGGUUCGGCUAUAUCAUUCUCUCGCCCUCAUUUCUUUAGUAAUGCCCCCCAAACAAAACCUAGUGUCCUCACCUCCUC